This 468-nucleotide long non-coding RNA is filed under the name Homo sapiens (human). RNAcentral describes it as "non-protein coding lnc-SETBP1-1:1". The record is from RNAcentral. Lineage: Eukaryota; Metazoa; Chordata; Mammalia; Primates; Hominidae.
UGACAAUAAAGGAAGUAAUCAUCUAAUAACAGCUACCAUCCAUGACACGUCUGCCAAUGCCAGCUCUUCAACCUGAAUGAUUUCAAUAGAUAGUACUGCUCCUAUGGUACAGAUGAAGGGAGUGGAGAGUGAAGAAUGUGUUCCCCAGAAAAGCAUCUUAAGAGAGUCUGAAGCUUGGAUGUGAGCAGCCCAAAUCAGGCCUGAUGCUGUGCACCUGCUCAGCUUUGCACCAGGGAAAGCUGCUGGCUUAUCACCACCUCAGGCUUUCUCCCAUUCCACAUCUUCCAGAAAUCCCCGGCUCCAAAAACUCAGUUUUCAAUUCAUGUGGCAGGUAGAAGAGCCAGACUACAAGUACAGUAAAAAUAUCAUGAGGAUUUUCACUGGCAAAAUGCAAAUAUAAAAAAGUAACAACAUGCCCUUCAUCCACUAAUUUUAUAAUUCUUCUGAGACAAGCGAUAAAGUUUUUUU